GUGCGCGUACGUGAUGGAACACGCGCCGCGCCGCCGCCGCGCGUUCUUCGGCAGCUUCGUGCCGGUCUCGACGUUCUCGUCGUUCGCGUGCGC
This 93-nucleotide transfer RNA is filed under the name Burkholderia vietnamiensis. RNAcentral describes it as "tRNA-Arg". Lineage: Bacteria; Pseudomonadati; Pseudomonadota; Betaproteobacteria; Burkholderiales; Burkholderiaceae. The record is from RNAcentral.